UGCACAGUGGAGAUCUGAACUCAGACUUGAAAUUGGAGAGCAAUAUAAAUAAGAAAUUUAACAAGGAAGAGCACUAACCCUCUAUUUUUGGAAUCCUAUUUGUGUCGGUUAAUCAAUUUAUUAUGAGAACAUCAAAUAAAUCUAAAUGCCGAAUACAUUCAAAUAAAUCUAAAUGCCCUGUUUAUUGUAUUCGUACUUUGCCUGAUAACGAGAAAGAUGGAAAAGGUAGGAGGAAAUGAGGAGGAGAAAAUCUCCCUACUCAUUUCACUUUUACAGUUUUACCAUGCUUUCAUAGGAGGGGAAGAGGCAGUGAAAAGGUCUUUCACAUUUAAACUUUAAAGUAGAAAAACGGAAGAAUGAAAAAUAUGGAGAAGCAUUUCCACUUGUCCAUAUACUGUUAUCAAUGAGAUCUGAAAGAAAAGUGGAAAUUUUUGCAUCACAAUACUGACAUUUUUCUACAUUAGAUUACUCAACUAAUAAUCACAAUCUAGUUAAAGUCGGCUAUAUGGAUCAUUUUCAUCCAGUGUAAUUAGUUCAAGACAACACCUAUAGAAAGCUUUGGAGCAGCUAAAUUCUUUUUCUAGAUGCCAUUCUAGGUCUUACCUCUCAUUUUCAAUCAUGUUUUCUUUUAACUUUUUCAUACCUCUUUAAAGCAUAUUGUUGAAGACUAAUUCUUUUUUCCCACCUUCCCAUUCCUUUCCUUUUUAUUAAACCUUUCCAUUCAUUAUUAAUAUUUUGUUACUCUGAAUUAGCUCAUAUUUGAAGCACACGUUAUCAGUGCAUGCAUGGAAAUAAAAGGGUGUAAG
RNAcentral lists this unclassified non-coding RNA (806 nucleotides) under Hevea brasiliensis (rubber tree). Lineage: Eukaryota; Viridiplantae; Streptophyta; Magnoliopsida; Malpighiales; Euphorbiaceae. The record is from RNAcentral.